GUGCUCGCUUCGGCAGCACACACACUAAAAUUGGAAUGAUACGGAGAAGAUUAGCACGGCCCCUGUGCCAGGAUAACAUGCAAAGUCAUCAAGCGUUCCUUAUUUUU
Molecule: small nuclear RNA, 107 nt
Organism: Lynx canadensis (Canada lynx)
Lineage: Eukaryota; Metazoa; Chordata; Mammalia; Carnivora; Felidae
Source: Ensembl